Molecule: ribosomal RNA, 514 nt
Filed under: uncultured bacterium
Lineage: Bacteria
Description: partial 16S ribosomal RNA
Rfam family: Bacterial small subunit ribosomal RNA
Source: RNAcentral
GAUGAACGCUGGCGGCGUGCCUAAUACAUGCAAGUCGAGCGAACAGAUGAGAAGCUUGCUUCUCUGAUGUUAGCGGCGGACGGGUGAGUAACACGUGGGUAACCUACCUAUAAGACUGGGAUAACUCCGGGAAACCGGGGCUAAUACCGGAUAACAUUUUGAACCGCAUGGUUCAAUAGUGAAAGACGGUUUCGGCUGUCACUUAUAGAUGGACCCGCGCCGUAUUAGCUAGUUGGUAAGGUAACGGCUUACCAAGGCGACGAUACGUAGCCGACCUAAGAGGGUGAUCGGCCAGACUGGAACUGAGACACGGUCCAGACUCCUACGGGAGGCAGCAGUAGGGAAUCUUCCGCAAUGGGCGAAAGCCUGACGGAGCAACGCCGCGUGAGUGAUGAAGGUCUUCGGAUCGUAAAACUCUGUUGUUAGGGAAGAACAAAUUUGUUAGUAACUGAACAAGUCUUGACGGUACCUAACCAGAAAGCCACGGCUAACUACGUGCCAGCCGCCGCGGUAA